Sardina pilchardus (European sardine) is the source of this 719-nucleotide long non-coding RNA. RefSeq lists it as uncharacterized. Lineage: Eukaryota; Metazoa; Chordata; Actinopteri; Clupeiformes; Clupeidae. The transcript has 2 exons. The record is from RefSeq and is a predicted model, not a curated record.
CCUACUGCUCUUUGAUAAGUGAUAUCAUAGCCGGAUUUGGGUAUAACCAGAGAAUGUCUAGGGCUCUGGUAUAGCCUAAUGAUGGAAAAUAAAAUGGACUGGCACAACGUCAUGCACAGUGGUCUUGGGAACAUCGAAGGCUUCUGCAACAACCCUGUAGGAGGUGGCACUGGAUAACCAAUACUGAAUGAUGACAACCUCCAGUCUCUCCCCCAGCCUCCAUCACAGUCCACUUCAAGUGUGUCCACAAGGGCAUUGACAGAAGUCGUUCUUCAGAUCCACAUCUCCAAAGAGGAGACGGACAAUAGCCUAGAUAGAAUAGUGUUGCCAUUCAGUUAGCAAUAUUGUCCCCUGGGGUCAUUCUGAGAGAAUGUGCACUUGUUGUUUUUCUUGAUGUUAAAGUUCAGACAUUUUAAUCAAUUGAAAGUAUUUUGUUCAAUGUUUAGUGUCAUUUGUAAGGUAACUGUCAUACAGUGGUCAUUAUGGGAUUAUCAAUUGUCAGUGUAGCACAGUUACAUUUACUUAAUUUCACAUUUCACUUAGUUGCAAACCCAAGUCUUGCCAAUAAUGACACCUUUUUGAUCCAUUAACCAUGGUUGCAUACGCCUUCAUAAGAAAAGACAACUGUAGGCUACAAUAUUGUUAGUUUCUCUAGGCAUAUUGGUCUAAUCACUCUGAAUUCCUGCUGAAGAACGAGAUUAAAGACCAUCAGUAUUGCA